Molecule: unclassified non-coding RNA, 764 nt
Filed under: Hevea brasiliensis (rubber tree)
Lineage: Eukaryota; Viridiplantae; Streptophyta; Magnoliopsida; Malpighiales; Euphorbiaceae
Source: RNAcentral
UAAAAUCUAAAUUGCAGCAAAUUGUAUCAAGAAAAAACAUUCCAUAAUACCUCAUUCUAUUUUGAUGGUCGUAGUUCCUACAUAUUGUAUUCACAAAACAUGCUCUCUUUUCUUUGAAAGUUGAUCUCAGGAACCCAGAAGUUUUUUGAUUCCUGCUUUCUGCUCUGAUGUUAGCCUUGUUGGGAACUUAAUGUUGAACUUGAUUCUCAGAUUUCCUCUCUUCGCCGGGUCUUUUUGGAUUGGCAUUCCUUCCCUUGGGAUGACUUCCUCAUAAUUUGGAUGAAUCACACUGUUGAUUGGAAUGGACAAAUUCCUUCCAUCUAAGGUGGUGAGAUGGACGGUGUAACCUGUCAGUGCUUCAGCUAAUGAAAUUUUUUGUGUAAUAAUUAAGUCAUUUCCAUCACGAGUGAACACAGGGUGGGGUUUCUCAUCAAUUAUGAAGACAAGAUCAGCAGGUAUGACAUUCGGUUGUUCAUUCCCUUUCUCUGGGAAGGUGAUCUUUGUGCCCUUCUUCCAGCCAGGGCCAGGCUUUAUGUCAAUUGUUAGGAUUUCCUCCACCUGCAUGGUCUUGCCGCUCAUGUCAACAAUCUCUCGAGAAAUCUUCAUCUUUUUGGUAGUCCCCUUGUAGAGUUCCUCAAGACUACAAGGCAACCUAUUCUCAAUUGCAGAAGCUUUUCUAGGAACAUUUUGAUGCAUUGACCCCCCUCCUCCAUCACCAUAAGACCCAAAGAUAUCAUCACCAAAUAUUCCACUCGAGAACCUUG